Long non-coding RNA from Mauremys mutica (yellowpond turtle), 381 nucleotides. RefSeq lists it as uncharacterized. The record is from RefSeq and is a predicted model, not a curated record. NCBI's taxonomy places the organism in Eukaryota, Metazoa, Chordata, Testudines, Geoemydidae. The transcript has 3 exons.
GGUCCAAUACAUGGGAUUAACGGAAAACAAUACAUCUUGGGGUCCCCACCGGCAGAUGGAAGAUUUGGCCACCAGAAGCCUGCUGCUGUGUCACUCGAGAGCCACACUCAGCUUUGAUGCAUUUCCUCCUGUGGUGACUCCCACAAAGUAGUUAACAUCCAGUGUAGACAGCACUUUGUGAAUGGAUAUUCAACUUCAUGGCUCAUCAAUUGAGACAAUGGGCCAUGGAAGAAGUUUGGCCCCAUCUGUAGCUGAAAUACAUGCAAGGGCAUGUGACCAGCUCAUGUGACACUGGACUCGAUCUUGUGCCUGUACGUUUCCAGUUACUGUGCUGGUAUCUCUGUUUGGGACAAUGAAGUUCCCUCCACAUGGCAGAAGCAA